Molecule: long non-coding RNA, 479 nt
Organism: Lolium rigidum
Lineage: Eukaryota; Viridiplantae; Streptophyta; Magnoliopsida; Poales; Poaceae
Exons: 3
Source: RefSeq, a predicted model, not a curated record
UUCUCUACAUAGUUGUCGAAGCAUAUGAGGGGUGUGGUUAUAUAUAUAAGAAAUUGAUAGCAUAGUUUAUAGUUUUUUGCUUCUAUUGUUUGUUCUUUUUAUUUGAGGUAAUCUCUCCCUUUCCUCUCCUUGUUUUGUCAUGCUAGGUCUCCUAGGUCAGAGCCACGGUGCAGGAGCUCAGGUUUCGGUGGAGAGAUGAUACAGUGAUGAGAAGAUGUGCCCAGCAGCUAGCUAUAGUGGAGAAUUGAUUCGUUCGAUCCCCUCACCCCUGGCCUUCUACAGAGAAGCUGACACUCGUGUACGAAGUCGGUGCCCUACCGACAAAGGUGGUACAACUCUCACCAGAUGACCUUAGAGACGAGAGCACAAUAACAUACUGGAAGAUAUGACGCUAGAAGCACACAAAUAAGCUAACCUGGUGCAAGCUGUGAUUCCAUGACCCAUCCCCGCUGUGACCCUGUUCCUGGAACUGGCAAGGU